RNAcentral lists this ribosomal RNA (407 nucleotides) under uncultured bacterium. RNAcentral describes it as "bacterial SSU rRNA". It matches the Rfam family "Bacterial small subunit ribosomal RNA", at positions 358 to 762 of the family's 1533-position model. The record is from RNAcentral.
GGAAUAUUGGGCAAUGCCCGCAAGGGUGACCCAGCAACGCCGCGUGGAGGAUGAAUGUCGUAAGAUUGUAAACUCCUGUUAGAGGGGAAGAAUAGUACCGGUUGGACCGGUAUAUGACUGUACCCUCAGAGAAAGCCCCGGCUAACUACGUGCCAGCAGCCGCGGUAAUACGUAGGGGGCAAGCGUUGCCCGGAUUUACUGGGUGUAAAGGGCGCGCAGGCGGGAUAAAAAGUCAGUGGUGAAAUCCUACAGCUUAACCGUAGAACUGCCUUUGAUACUUGUAUUCUUGAGUUCGGGAGAGAGAGACGGAAUUCCAGGUGUAGUGGUGAAAUACGUAGAUAUCUGGAAGAACACCAGUGGCGAAGGCGGUCUCUUGAUCCGACACUGACGCUGAGGCGCGAAAGCGU